Non-coding RNA from Phrynosoma platyrhinos (Desert horned lizard), 71 nucleotides. The record is from the annotation of a GenBank genome assembly. NCBI's taxonomy places the organism in Eukaryota, Metazoa, Chordata, Lepidosauria, Squamata, Phrynosomatidae.
GCCAGUGUGGCACAGUGGUUUGAGCACUGGAGUUUGAUUCUGCAGAUCAGGGUUCAAAUCCCCACUCGGCC